RNAcentral lists this ribosomal RNA (2090 nucleotides) under Entalinidae sp. RNAcentral describes it as "bacterial SSU rRNA". Lineage: Eukaryota; Metazoa; Mollusca; Scaphopoda; Gadilida; Entalinidae. The record is from RNAcentral.
UGUCUAAGUACGAGCUCUUAGUAUAGUGAAACCGCGAAUGGCUCAUUAAAUCAGUCGAAGUUCCUUGGAUAGACGAACUUGAUACUCGGAUAACUGUGGCAAUUCUAGAGCUAAUACGUGCACUUAAAGCCUAGACGUCCCCUGCGGGCGGGGGAAAGAACAGGCGCUUUUAUUAGAUCGAAUAAACCGAGGCGGGAUAAAAUAAACCUGAAGGGGCGUCGGGUGGUCCUCCUCGCGGGGGGCUCUCGUUCACCUCGGAAGCGUUAACCGUCUAUAUAUAUAAAUACAAUUUGGUGACUCUGGAUAAAUAUUGCUGAUCGCAUGGCCUCGCGCCGGCGACGAAUCUUUCAAAUGUCUGCCCUAUCAACUUUCGAAGGUAGGCGAUAUGCUUACCUUGGUUGCAACGGGUAACGGGGAAUCAGGGUUCGAUUCCGGAGAGGGAGCUUGAGAAACGGCUACCACAUCCAAGGAAGGCAGCAGGCGCGCAAAUUACCCACUCCCAGCUCGGGGAGGUAGUGACGAAAAAUAACGAUGCGGGACUCUAUCGAGGCCCCGUAAUCGGAAUGAGUACAGUUUAAACCUUUUAGCGAGGAUCGAUUGGAGGGCAAGUCUGGUGCCAGCAGCCGCGGUAAUUCCAGCUCCAAUAGCGUAUAUUAAAGUUGUUGCAGUUAAAAAGCUCGUAGUUGAGUUUUGGGCGUUGGGCGCGCGGUCCGUCUCACGACGGUCAACCGCGUGGGUGAGAGUGGUCAGACCUUUCGGUCCGAGAGGGUCGUUGGGAACCAUCGCUCUCAACCUUUAAGCCCUGCCUAUCGAGCCGGUGACCUUGGUCGGUCUAAAUACAAAACGUCCGAGGUGCUCUUGACUGAGUGUCUCGCGGCGACCGGCGCGUUUACUUUGAAAAAAUUAGAGUGCUCAAAGCAGGCAUAUAAAAAGCAAGCGAAAAAAAAAUUCGUUGUCGCCUGAAUACUAGCGCAUGGAAUAAUGGAAUAGGAUCUCGGUUCUGCACACAUUGGUUUAAGAACCCGAGAUAAUGAUCGAGAGAASCCGACGGGGGCAUUCGUACUGCGACGUUAGAGGUGAAAUUCUUGGAUCGUCGCAUGACGAACUACAGCGAUAGCAUUUGCCAAGCAGGUCUUCAUUGAUCAAGAACGAAAGUCAGAGGUUCGAAGACGAUCAGAUACCGUCGUAGUUCUGACCAUAAACUAUGCCGACUGGCGAUCGGUCGAAGUUGCUUUCAUGACCCGACCGGUAGCCCUUUACGGGAAACCAAAGUGUUUUGGUUCUGGGGGAAGUAUGGUUGCAAAGCUGAAACUUAAAGGAAUUGACGGAAGGGCACCACCAGGAGUGGAGCCUGCGGCUUAAUUUGACUCAACACGGGAAAACUCACCCGGCCCGAACACCGUGAGGAUUGACAGAUUGAGAGCUCUUUCUCGAUUCGGUGGAUGGUGGUGCAUGGCCGUUCUUAGUUGGUGGAGCGAUUUGUCUGGUUAAUUCCGAUAACGAACGAGACUCUAGCCUGCUAAAUAGCGAACUGAGACAAAUUUUUCCUAAGAGAAAAUUAAAACAAAGCAACAAAGGGGGUGUAGGUGGGUUUGGUCGGGGCGCCUUCGCGGGUGGUUCCGUCCUGCCCUCUCGCUCUCUCGUUCUUAUCCUUAGUUUAUACGUAACUGUGCUUCUUAGAGGGACUCGUGGCGUUUAGCCACACGAGAUUGAGCAAUAACAGGUCUGUGAUGCCCUUAGAUGUUCGGGGCCGCACGCGCGCUACAAUGAAGGAAUCAGCGUGUAUACCCCCCUGGCCCGAAAGGGUUGGGUAAUCAGAUGAACCCCCUUCUUGAUGGGGACUGGAGAUUGUAAUUGUUCUCCACGAACGAGGAAUUCCUAGUAAGCGCCAGUCAUCGAGCUGGCGUUGAUUACGUCCCUGCCCUUUGUACACACCGCCCGUCGCUACUACCGAUCGAGCGGUUUACUGAGGAUCGGAGAUUGGUCGCUGGACCGUUCCAACUCGAGGCCCGCCCCACUAUGUGGAGUGGUAGCUCUCGAGCGUUCGCCGGCGUGCCGAGAACCGCCCCGAAGUGCACUGCUUAGAGGAA